UCCGGUGGCAAUGGCGGAGGGGUUACACCCGAUCCCAUUCCGAACUCGGAAGUUAAGCCCUCCUGCGCCGAUGGUACUGCACGGGCGACCGUGUGGGAGAGUAGGACGCUGCCGGAU
This 117-nucleotide ribosomal RNA is filed under the name Myxococcales bacterium. The record is from RNAcentral. Lineage: Bacteria; Pseudomonadati; Myxococcota; Myxococcia; Myxococcales.